RNAcentral lists this transfer RNA (93 nucleotides) under Candidatus Hecatellales archaeon ex4484_218. RNAcentral's name for it is "Candidatus Bathyarchaeota archaeon ex4484_218 tRNA-Met". It matches the Rfam family "tRNA". Rfam says of the family: Transfer RNA (tRNA) molecules are approximately 80 nucleotides in length. RNAcentral also lists the same sequence under 2 other names. Lineage: Archaea; Thermoproteati; Candidatus Bathyarchaeota; Bathyarchaeia (SeqCode); Candidatus Hecatellales. The record is from RNAcentral.
GCCGGGGUGGCUCAGCUGGUUAGAACCUUUGGGCUAGACUAAAGCGCUGGACUCAUAAUCCAGAGGUCGCGGGUUCGACCCCCGCCCCCGGCA